UUUGGAGUUUAGGAUUAAAGGGUUUAAGAAUUGGUAUUAUACACAAACAUUUUAUAAAUAUAUAUUUUUAAAGUGUAUAAAAAUUGAGAUUUGGGGUUUAGGGAUUGGUGAUGAUAUAUAUGUUAUUGAUUUUUAACUAUAUUUUUUUAUAACUAUCAAUUGAUAAAUAUAAUAAUUAUGGCAACAACUUAUCUCUAGCAUAGACGUAGCUAUUUAGCUACAGAGAUCAACGGAAUCUAUUUC
This 243-nucleotide long non-coding RNA is filed under the name Brassica napus (rape). RNAcentral's name for it is "long non-coding RNA (BNAP_LNC022918)". Lineage: Eukaryota; Viridiplantae; Streptophyta; Magnoliopsida; Brassicales; Brassicaceae. The record is from RNAcentral.